This is a non-coding RNA of Ochotona curzoniae (black-lipped pika), 481 nucleotides long. The record is from the annotation of a RefSeq genome assembly. NCBI's taxonomy places the organism in Eukaryota, Metazoa, Chordata, Mammalia, Lagomorpha, Ochotonidae.
AUAUCUCAGAACCUAGUGACUGUAAGAGCAAACUCUGCGUCCAAGACUUGCUAUCCAGUACAGCAACAGUGAGAACUUCCUGACAACCAGGCAAGGAGUCAUGGAGAGAAGCCUGGGGACUCUGCUAGGGCUUCUGUUGGCUCAGAUUUUCUCAGGCAUAAGAGGCCUGGAGGUGAAGCAGAGUCCUUCAAUGUUGAAUGUCCAGGAAGGAGCCAGCCCUACCCUGAACUGCAAUUUUUCUACUUCAGUGAGAAGUGUCCAGUGGUUCCAGCAAAAUCCCGGGAGCAGCCUUACUAGUCUUCUCAUCAUAGCUUUAGGGACAAAGGAGAGUGGAAGGUUGACGGCAACCAUUAAUUCCCAGGAGCGCUACAGCACCCUCCACAUUGCAGCCACCCAGAUGGCUGACUCAGGCACCUACUUCUGUGCGGCAGAGGCACAGUGCUCCCAGGUCACCUGCUGCCUGCACCCAAACUGCAGCUGA